AUGGAGAUGUCGCCUCUCCUGAAGCUCGUCUCAAUCACUCUACUACUAAUACCGUGGUUUCCUCAUGCCAUGGCAGCGACAUCCCUCCUGGAAGAACAAGCAGAGGUCCUCCUUGCCUGGAAAGCCACACUCCAAAUCCAUCCAAGCCAGCUACAAUCCUGGGGAAGUGCAAACAACACUGCGCGGCCGUGCAGCUGGCAUGGCAUCAGGUGCAGCAAGCAUCGAGCAAGGCGCCAGGAGGUGAUCACCGAGAUCUCUCUACCCGGUUUGGGGCUCGGAGGGGAGCUCAACAACCUCAACUUCACUGUGCUGCGUACUCUGAUGAGCAUCCAACUCUCCAACAAUAAGAUAAGGGGCUCCUUUCCACCUGCUUUAGCAUCAUCCUUACCAAACCUGAGACACCUAAUGCUCCAAGAGAAUGAGCUUUCCGGUGAAAUACCAAGCCAAAUAAAACUACUAGAGAGUCUGGUUGUGUUGGAUUUCUCAGCCAACCACUUGUCUGGCCCCAUCCCCACUGAACUAGGCUACCUAAAGAAGCUGGCUAGGAUAGAUUUUUCCAACAACAGCCUCACUGGUCCUAUUCCAAGAAAUCUAGGGAAAUCAACUAGUAUCACAAUCUUGUACCUUGGUGGUAAUCGGUUAUCCGGAUACAUCCCUCAAGAACUAGGUUACCUGUUGUGUUUAAAUCAGUUGUCUCUUUGGAAAAACAAAUUAAUUGGUUCCAUCCCCAAUUCCUUUGGGAGAUUGAUUAACCUCAAAGGCUUGUACCUAUGGGGUAACCAACUUUCCGGACGUAUUCCUCAAGAACUUGGUUUCCUAGUAAAUUUAGAAGAGUUGGAUCUUAGCAGCAACCAACUGACGGGUUCCAUCCCCAGUACAUUUGGAAGUUUGUCAAAGCUCACUAUGUUGCACCUUUUUGGUAAUAAAUUAUCUGGAUAUCUUCCUCGAGAACUAAGAAACCUGUCAAAUCUUGAAUAUUUGGAACUUAACAACAACCAACUCAUGGGUUUCAUCCCCCAUAUCUUUGUAAAUUUGACAAAGCUCUCUAUCUUGCGCCUUGAUGCUAACCACUUCUAUGGAUAUCUUCCUCGAGAACUAGGUUACAUGGUGAAUCUUGAUAACUUGGAUCUAAGCGAGAACAAACUCAUUGGUUCCAUCCCCAAUACAUUUGGAAGUUUAACUAAGCUCACUCGCUUGUACCUAUGGGGUAACCAACUUUCCGGAAGUAUUCCUCAAGAACUUGGUUUCCUAGUAAAUUUAGAAGAGUUGGAUCUUAGCAGCAACCAACUGACGGGUUCCAUCCCCAGUACAUUUGGAAGUUUGUCAAAGCUCACUAUGUUGCACCUUUUUGGUAAUAAAUUAUCUGGAUAUCUUCCUCAAGAACUAGGCAACCUGUCAAAUCUUGAAUAUUUGGAUCUUAACAACAACCAACUCAUGGGUUCCAUCCCCCAUAUCUUUGUAAAUUUGACAAAGCUCUCUAUCUUGCACCUUGAUGCUAACCACUUCUAUGGAUAUAUUCCUCGAGAACUAGGUUACAUGGUGAAUCUUGAUAACUUGGGUCUAAGCGACAACAAUCUCAUGGGAUCCAUUCCCAAUACCUUUGGAAGUUUGGCUAAGCUCACUGGCUUGCACCUUGAUGGUAAUCAGUUAACCGGACAUAUUCCUCGAGAACUAGGUUACCUGGUGGAUUUAGAAGAAUUGGCUCUUAGCAAUAACAAGCUCACUGGUUCCAUCCCUGAUGUCAUUGGAAAGUUGACUAAGCUCAGAAAAUUGCGUCUCGGUGAAAAUAAUUUCUCCGGAAAAAUUCCUCAAGAAAUCGGUACCUUUAUGAAUCUUGUGGUCCUGCAACUUGGCGCAAACAAUUUCUCUGGUCCCUUGCCACCUGAGUUGUGUGCUGGAGGCCUUCUCCAGAAUUUAACUGCAUUUGAUAACAAUCUGAAUGGACAAUUGCCAUCAAGUUUGGGAAACUGCAAAAGCCUAGUUCGAGUUCGUCUUGAAAGGAAUCAAAUAGAAGGUGAUAUCUCUGAGUUGGGAGUUCAUCCUAAUCUUGUUUAUAUGGACAUGAGUUCAAAUAAACUAUUUGGUCAAUUGUCUUAUCACUGGGGAGGAUGUCAUAAUCUUACCAAGCUAGGCAUAUCAAACAACAACAUCACAGGGAAAAUACCUGCAAGUAUGGGGAGGCUAUCUCAGCUAAAUGUACUUGAUCUCUCCUCAAACAGUCUCGAAGGAGAGCUUCCUAGAGAACUAGGCAAUUUAGAACGAUUAUUCCAGCUGCAUCUUGCAGAUAAUUUGUUCCAUGGAAGCAUACCACAAGAAUUUGGAGCAUUGUCCAGUCUAGAGUCGUUGGAUUUAUCAUCAAAUAACCUUAGUGGUUUGGUACAAGGAUCAAUUGAGAAUUGUUUGAAGCUCCGCUCAUUGAAUUUGAGUCACAAUAAUUUUAAAGGAAACAUCCCUGUAGUGCUUGGGGUGUUGAACAACUUACAUGACAUGUUGGAUUUAAGUGAUAAUUCAUUUACUGGGAAAAUACCUAGCCAACUUAGUGGUCUGAUAAUGCUGGAUAAUUUGAAUCUUUCACACAAUGAACUUUAUGGUGUAAUCCCAUCAUCAUUUCAGAGUAUGAAAAGCUUGACAUCCAUUGAUUUGUCUUACAAUGAAUUGGAAGGACCAGUCCCAGAGAGUAAGCUCUUCAAAGGAGCUCCAGUUCAGUGGUUCAUCCAUAAUAAGAUGCUAUGUGGCAUAGUGGAAGGAUUGCCUCCUUGCAAUAACACAACUUGGAGUGGAGGGAAAAGGAAACGGUACAAAACACUUGUACUAGCCAUGAUUACUCCUCUAGUAUCUCUUAUUCUUGUUGCGGUGACGUUGAUGUUCACAAAUGCAAGGAAGAAAUCCAUGAAAAUUAAAGAGGAUAUAGUAACACCCAAAAAAGUAUUCUCUAUUUGGAAUUUUGAUGGGGAGGAUGUAUUCAAACAAAUAGUUGAAGCAACCAAUGAUUUUAGUGAAACACAUUGCAUAGGGACUGGGGGAUAUGGAUCUGUCUAUAAAGCCAAACUUGCAACAUCUGAAAUAUUUGCAGUGAAGAAGAUACACAUGAUCGAAGAUAACUAUUGUGUGAACGAGUUGGUAUUCAAUAGUGAAAUCGAGGCAUUGGUGCAGACUCGGCAUAGAAACAUCGUAAAACUAUAUGGAUAUUGUUCCUCUAGCCAAGGCAAAUAUCUUAUCUAUGAAUAUAUGGAGAGGGGAAACUUGGCAGAAACACUAAGGAACAAUGAAAGGGCAAUUGAAUUGGACUGGAGAAGGCGGAUAAAUAUUGCACUAGAUGUUGUUCAUGCUUUGGCAUACAUGCAUCAUGAUUGUUCAUUACCAAUAGUCCACAGAGAUAUAACAAGCAACAACAUUUUACUUGAUCUGGAAUUUAGGGCUUGCAUCUCCGACUUCGGUAUGGCUAAAAUUCUCAAUAUUGAUGGUCGAAAUCUCACAAGUCUUGUUGGGACGAAAGGCUAUAUUGCCCCAGAGCUAUCAUAUACAGAGAAUGUGACGGAGAAAUGUGAUGUAUACAGCUUCGGAGUUCUUGUUCUAGAGCUAUUUAUGGGAUGCCAUCCAGGAGAUUUUCUCUUUUCUCUCUUGUCAUCCACCAAAAAUAAUGAUGUGUGCUUGCAAGAUGUGUUAGACUCAAGGCUCAUUGUCCCUAAUGCUGAAACUGCUAGGGAAAUAUACUACAUCCUCAGUGUUGCAGCUCGGUGUCUUGAGCCUAACCCAUCAAGCAGACAAACAUCACGACGUGCUAGUGACGAGCUAUCUGUGAUUAAAGUAUGUGAAGAUCAUGUUGAUUAUAUGCAUAUUGGCCUCAGAAUUCCUGCAAAACAGUGCCUAUGA
Molecule: ribosomal RNA, 3873 nt
Filed under: Triticum aestivum (bread wheat)
Lineage: Eukaryota; Viridiplantae; Streptophyta; Magnoliopsida; Poales; Poaceae
Description: partial small subunit ribosomal RNA
Source: RNAcentral